Molecule: ribosomal RNA, 1540 nt
Filed under: Staphylococcus aureus
Lineage: Bacteria; Bacillati; Bacillota; Bacilli; Caryophanales; Staphylococcaceae
Description: 16S ribosomal RNA
Rfam family: Bacterial small subunit ribosomal RNA
Source: RNAcentral
AGAGUUUGAUCCUGGCUCAGGAUGAACGCUGGCGGCGUGCCUAAUACAUGCAAGUCGAGCGAACGGACGAGAAGCUUGCUUCUCUGAUGUUAGCGGCGGACGGGUGAGUAACACGUGGAUAACCUACCUAUAAGACUGGGAUAACUUCGGGAAACCGGAGCUAAUACCGGAUAAUAUUUUGAACCGCAUGGUUCAAAAGUGAAAGACGGUCUUGCUGUCACUUAUAGAUGGGUCCGCGCUGCAUUAGCUAGUUGGUAAGGUAACGGCUUACCAAGGCAACGAUGCAUAGCCGACCUGAGAGGGUGAUCGGCCACACUGGAACUGAGACACGGUCCAGACUCCUACGGGAGGCAGCAGUAGGGAAUCUUCCGCAAUGGGCGAAAGCCUGACGGAGCAACGCCGCGUGAGUGAUGAAGGUCUUCGGAUCGUAAAACUCUGUUAUUAGGGAAGAACAUAUGUGUAAGUAACUGUGCACAUCUUGACGGUACCUAAUCAGAAAGCCACGGCUAACUACGUGCCAGCAGCCGCGGUAAUACGUAGGUGGCAAGCGUUAUCCGGAAUUAUUGGGCGUAAAGCGCGCGUAGGCGGUUUUUUAAGUCUGAUGUGAAAGCCCACGGCUCAACCGUGGAGGGUCAUUGGAAACUGGAAAACUUGAGUGCAGAAGAGGAAAGUGGAAUUCCAUGUGUAGCGGUGAAAUGCGCAGAGAUAUGGAGGAACACCAGUGGCGAAGGCGACUUUCUGGUCUGUAACUGACGCUGAUGUGCGAAAGCGUGGGGAUCAAACAGGAUUAGAUACCCUGGUAGUCCACGCCGUAAACGAUGAGUGCUAAGUGUUAGGGGGUUUCCGCCCCUUAGUGCUGCAGCUAACGCAUUAAGCACUCCGCCUGGGGAGUACGACCGCAAGGUUGAAACUCAAAGGAAUUGACGGGGACCCGCACAAGCGGUGGAGCAUGUGGUUUAAUUCGAAGCAACGCGAAGAACCUUACCAAAUCUUGACAUCCUUUGACAACUCUAGAGAUAGAGCUUUCCCCUUCGGGGGACAAAGUGACAGGUGGUGCAUGGUUGUCGUCAGCUCGUGUCGUGAGAUGUUGGGUUAAGUCCCGCAACGAGCGCAACCCUUAAGCUUAGUUGCCAUCAUUAAGUUGGGCACUCUAAGUUGACUGCCGGUGACAAACCGGAGGAAGGUGGGGAUGACGUCAAAUCAUCAUGCCCCUUAUGAUUUGGGCUACACACGUGCUACAAUGGACAAUACAAAGGGCAGCGAAACCGCGAGGUCAAGCAAAUCCCAUAAAGUUGUUCUCAGUUCGGAUUGUAGUCUGCAACUCGACUACAUGAAGCUGGAAUCGCUAGUAAUCGUAGAUCAGCAUGCUACGGUGAAUACGUUCCCGGGUCUUGUACACACCGCCCGUCACACCACGAGAGUUUGUAACACCCGAAGCCGGUGGAGUAACCUUUUAGGAGCUAGCCGUCGAAGGUGGGACAAAUGAUUGGGGUGAAGUCGUAACAAGGUAGCCGUAUCGGAAGGUGCGGCUGGAUCACCU